This 723-nucleotide long non-coding RNA is filed under the name Homo sapiens (human). RNAcentral describes it as "HSALNT0137238". The record is from RNAcentral. Lineage: Eukaryota; Metazoa; Chordata; Mammalia; Primates; Hominidae.
GUCUGGAAAAUGAGGAGCGUCUCUACCCGGCCGCCAUCCCAUCUAGGAAGUGACGAGCGCCUCUUCCCGGCCGCCAUCCCAUCUAGGAAGUGAGGAGUGUCUCUGCCCGGCCGCCCAUCCUCUGAGAUGUGGGGAGCACCUCUGCCCCGCCGCCCCGUCUGGGAUGUGAGGAGCGCCUCUGCCCGGCCGCGACGCCGUCUGGAAGGUGAGGAGUGUCUCUGCCUGGCCGCCCCAUCUGAGAAGUGAGGAGACCCUCCGCCCGGCAGCCGCCCCGUCUGAGAAGUGAGGAGCCCCUCCGCCCGGCAGCCGCCCCAUCUGGGAAGUGAGGAGCGUCUCCGCCCGGCAGCCACCCUGUCCGGGAGGGAGGUAGGGGGGUCAGCCCCCCGCCUGGCCAGCCUCCCCGUCCGGGAGGUGAGGGAAGCCUCUGCCCGGCCACCCCUACUGCACAAUGGGAUUCGUCGCCAAGAUGAUGAAGGCUCCACAAACCCUAUGGUGUGAUGAAGAGUUAAAGGAACUGGAGUAGUUAACUAAGGAGAAGUGUGGGACAUUAUCACACAUUUGAAGGCCUGUCAAAGGUAAGCACUAUUAGAUUUGUCUCCAGAGUGUGGGACUUGGCCCAAAGACUGUAAGCACCAGAGAAACAAUUUUCAGCUCAGUUUAAGAAAGUGUUUCAAAUCGUAAUGGGUUGCUUCAAGGGACAGUGUUUUCCUCAUCAUAAGAAGG